UACGUAGGGGGCAAGCGUUGUCCGGAUUUAUUGGGCGUAAAGAGCUCGUAGGCGGUUUGGUAAGUCGGAUGUGAAAUCUCCAGGCUCAACCUGGAGGGGUCAUUCGAUACUGCCAUGACUAGAGUUCGGUAGGGGUGUGUGGAAUUCCUGGUGGAGCGGUGAAAUGCGCAGAUAUCAGGAGGAACACCGGUGGCGAAGGCGGGUCUCUGGGCCGUAACUGACGCUGAGGAGCGAAAGCGUGGGGAGCGAACAGG
RNAcentral lists this ribosomal RNA (254 nucleotides) under uncultured bacterium. Its description in RNAcentral is "partial 16S ribosomal RNA". It matches the Rfam family "Bacterial small subunit ribosomal RNA", at positions 524 to 776 of the family's 1533-position model. The record is from RNAcentral.